GAUGAACGCUGGCGGCGUGCUUAACACAUGCAAGCCGAACGAAGCACUUUACUUGAUUUCUUCGGAAUGAUUGUUCUGUGACUGAGUGGCGGACGGGUGAGUAACGCGUGGGUAACCUGCCUCAUACAGGGGGAUAACAGUUGGAAACGACUGCUAAUACCGCACAAGCGCACAGUACCGCAUGAUACAGUGUGAAAAACUCCGGUGGUAUGAGAUGGGCCCGCGUCUGAUUAGCUAGUUGGUGGGGUAACGGCCUACCAAGGCGACGAUCAGUAGCCGACCUGAGAGGGUGACCGGCCACAUUGGGACUGAGACACGGCCCAA
This 324-nucleotide ribosomal RNA is filed under the name uncultured bacterium. RNAcentral's name for it is "bacterial SSU rRNA". It matches the Rfam family "Bacterial small subunit ribosomal RNA", at positions 28 to 334 of the family's 1533-position model. The record is from RNAcentral.